AAUUAAAGCUCAGUUGGUUAGAGCGUGGUGCUGAUAACAUUAAGGUUGCAGGUUCAAUCCCCAUAAGGGACA
Molecule: non-coding RNA, 72 nt
Organism: Podarcis lilfordi (Lilford's wall lizard)
Lineage: Eukaryota; Metazoa; Chordata; Lepidosauria; Squamata; Lacertidae
Source: the annotation of a GenBank genome assembly